UGGGGGAUCGUCUAGCGGUAGGACAGCGGACUCUGACUCCGUUAACCCAGGUUCGAAUCCUGGUCCCCCAGCCA
This 74-nucleotide transfer RNA is filed under the name Sediminicurvatus halobius. Its description in RNAcentral is "Spiribacter halobius tRNA-Gln". It matches the Rfam family "tRNA". From Rfam's summary of the family: Transfer RNA (tRNA) molecules are approximately 80 nucleotides in length. Their secondary structure includes four short double-helical elements and three loops (D, anti-codon, and T loops). Further hydrogen bonds mediate the characteristic L-shaped molecular structure. tRNAs have two regions of fundamental functional importance: the anti-codon, which is responsible for specific mRNA codon recognition, and the 3' end, to which the tRNAs corresponding amino acid is attached (by aminoacyl-tRNA synthetases). tRNAs cope with the degeneracy of the genetic code in two manners: having more than one tRNA (with a specific anti-codon) for a particular amino acid; and 'wobble' base-pairing, i.e. permitting non-standard base-pairing at the 3rd anti-codon position. Lineage: Bacteria; Pseudomonadati; Pseudomonadota; Gammaproteobacteria; Chromatiales; Ectothiorhodospiraceae. The record is from RNAcentral.